Molecule: RNA transcript, 627 nt
Organism: Zea mays
Lineage: Eukaryota; Viridiplantae; Streptophyta; Magnoliopsida; Poales; Poaceae
Gene name: HT1 protein kinase pseudogene
Exons: 2
Source: RefSeq, marked validated
CUACUUCUCUCGCUUUCGCUUUAUCACCUCUCGUCGCCACCAACACUCCAACAGUCGCUUCACCGUCGGCGCCGUCGGAGGGACGCUCCAGUUGGCUGCCCCCGGCAGCGGAAAGUUUCCUGCGGCCCCUGCUCUCUUUCACCACCGCGGUGGAUGAAGACUGGCAAUUAUUGGCCUGCGCUGCGGUCUCGACGCCGUGCAGAGGUAGCUGCAGCUUUGCUCAUUGGGUUUGUUGCUUGCUUUUGUCCAGAGACUAGGGCAGGACAGGACUGUGUUAAGGCAGGCGGCCGCGUUAUUGCCUGUGCUUCUGUUGUUACCUUGUGCUAUGCUAUAUGCUAAUCAUUUGGCAGGCGUCAUGUGGUUUCGUGAUCCACGCGGGGAUGGGAGGAGCCGCAUGAGAUGCUGAGUGAUUGGACGGUUAGUUGGCCUCCUCACGUGGCGCGUCUCUGCACCUUUGUCUCUCUGGCUGACUGACUGGCUCUGCUUUCGCCUGCGCCUGGGCAUAUCGUGGAACCCUGAUUGGCCUAGCUCGAUACGGCCGCAGCUAUCAUGUGGUGUUUGUUUCAGCUUAUUUUCAGCUUCUGGCAGCUGUGGAACAUUUAGCUUUUUAACUCGUUUUUGUGAGAA